This 494-nucleotide ribosomal RNA is filed under the name uncultured bacterium. Its description in RNAcentral is "partial 16S ribosomal RNA". It matches the Rfam family "Bacterial small subunit ribosomal RNA", at positions 28 to 507 of the family's 1533-position model. The record is from RNAcentral.
GACGAACGCUGGCGGCGUGCUUAACACAUGCAAGUCGAACGGAAAGGCCUGCUUUCCCUUGUGGAUUGCGGGUACUCGAGUGGCGAACGGGUGAGUAACACGUGAGUGAUCUGCCCCCAACUUGGGUAUAAGCCUGGGAAACUGGGUCUAAUUCCCGAUAGGACUGCAGGGUGGUGCCUGUGGUGGAAAACGAUUUUCUAGUGGUUGGGGAUGAGCUCGCGGCCUAUCAGCUUGUUGGUGGGGUAAUGGCCUACCAAGGCGGCGACGGGUAGCCGGCCUGAGAGGGUGGGCGGCCACAUUGGGACUGAGAUACGGCCCAGAACCCUACGGGAGGCAGCAGUGGGGAAUAUUACACGAUGGGCGGAAGCCUGAUGCAGCGACGCCGCGUGGGGGAUGGCGGCCUUCGGGUUGUAAACUCCUUUCGACCGCGAGGAAGCCACCUGGUUGGAAGGGUGGUGACGGUAGUGGUAGAAGAAGCACCGGCUAACUACGUG